UGUGUAUCAGUACAUGGCAUAUCAAUAAGCGGAGGAAAAGAAACUAACAAGGAUUCCCUUAGUAACGGCGAGUGAAGCGGGAAGAGCUCAAAUUUGAAAUCUUCAAGGUUUUACCUUGACGAAUUGUAGUUUAAAGAAGUGUUUUCUGUUGAAGUUUUGGUAAAAGUUCUUUGGAAUAGGACAUCAUAGAGGGUGAGAAUCCCGUAUUUGACCAUUAUUUUCAGCUGUGUGAUACACUUUCAAAGAGUCGGAUUGUUUGGGAAUGCAGUCCAAAAUGGGUGGUAAAUUUCAUCUAAAGCUAAAUAUUGGCGAGAGACCGAUAGCGAACAAGUACCGUGAGGGAAAGAUGAAAAGAACUUUGAAAAGAGAGUUAAACAGUACGUGAAAUUGUCAAAAGGGAAGCGUUUGACACCAGUGUUGUUUUCUCGAAAAUCAAUUAAAAAAGGCCGGAUUUUGUGUUGUAUUGACCUUAAAAGCUUUCUUCACUCUUUUCUUGUCUUUUUUAAUGCACUUUUCGUUUAACAAGUCAACAUCAGUUUCUUUUGUUGUAAAAGGGUCAUUGGAAGGUGGCUUUCUUUUCGGAGAAAGUGUUUAUAGCCUUUGAUCUCUGCAAUCGGAGAGAUUGAGGUCUGCAGCGUAGACUCUUCGGGGUUAGAUACAUUUGUGCUAAGUUAUAGCCUUUUCCAUAGACAACUUGUUGACUAUAUUCAGUCAUGUAGGCUUACUCGCUUAUGUCAUUUUACCUACGCUUAGGAUGUUGACAGCAGUAUAGACUG
This 776-nucleotide ribosomal RNA is filed under the name uncultured Neocallimastigales. RNAcentral's name for it is "partial large subunit ribosomal RNA". It matches the Rfam family "Eukaryotic large subunit ribosomal RNA", at positions 22 to 632 of the family's 3401-position model. The record is from RNAcentral. Lineage: Eukaryota; Fungi; Neocallimastigomycota; Neocallimastigomycetes; Neocallimastigales.